AUGAAUCCUAGAAAGCAAAUAACGAACGUGUCUAAAAGAAACUGCAUUAACAACAUGUAACAGAACACGUAUUCAAUAUUACAAGGCCUUUGAUGUCUGCUCACGUAUAAUCACGAUGGAUCUCAACGUGAUUAUACGUGAAUUGCAUUUAUUCUCAGCUACUAGAAUUUUCAACAAUUCAUAACACAUUAUGUCGAUCUGGCCGGCAAUAUGGAGUACCUAAAAGUGACGGUCCAAGAUUGUCCCAAAACUAUGACCUAUUGACGAUCUAAUAUUAUUUAUUAAGCGUCCGAUAAUGAAAUUUCCGUUGAUGCAAAUUUAGUUUUCAUAUACAAUACUCUCCAGUAUAGAACCAUCUUACUAACCAACGCGACGAUGAGAACGUUCAGCAUUCCUGCCAACAUCGCUAACGUGUACUGCAGGAAAAAUUAUAAAACCAUGAUAAUUUUGUAAAGCGGCGCAUGUGUUCGAAUAGCAAAUUCAUUUUAAUAAUAAGUUGCUUCUCCUCGACAAAUUA
Ooceraea biroi (clonal raider ant) is the source of this 517-nucleotide long non-coding RNA. RefSeq lists it as uncharacterized. The record is from RefSeq and is a predicted model, not a curated record. Lineage: Eukaryota; Metazoa; Arthropoda; Insecta; Hymenoptera; Formicidae.